CUGCCUAUCAGAGGGGAAUAACAGUGAGAAAUCACUGCUAAUACCGCAUAUGCCAUAGUCAUCGCAUGAUGAUAGUGGGAAAGAAGCAAUUCGCUGAUAGAUGAGCUUGCGGCUGAUUAGCUAGUUGGUGGGGUAACGGCCUACCAAGGCGACGAUCAGUAGCCGGACUGAGAGGUUGAACGGCCACAUUGGGACUGAGAUACGGCCCAGACUCCUACGGGAGGCAGCAG
Molecule: ribosomal RNA, 230 nt
Filed under: uncultured bacterium
Lineage: Bacteria
Description: partial 16S ribosomal RNA
Rfam family: Bacterial small subunit ribosomal RNA
Source: RNAcentral